Molecule: RNA transcript, 2576 nt
Organism: Sphaeramia orbicularis (orbiculate cardinalfish)
Lineage: Eukaryota; Metazoa; Chordata; Actinopteri; Kurtiformes; Apogonidae
Gene name: 5,6-dihydroxyindole-2-carboxylic acid oxidase
Exons: 8
Source: RefSeq, a predicted model, not a curated record
UUGGGGGGAAAAAAGAGAGAGGGGCGCAUGGGAGGGGGAGUUUAGGACCCACUCAGUUGUCAGAGAAAGUCAUUACUAGUAUGUAUGUGUUCUCCGUGGGUGUUUGAGUCCAUAGUGGAAGCUGGGGUGUUUAUUUCCACGCACAGCAGUUGAACUCAUCCGUGCGUAAUAGUUGCCACCGGCCGGACAACCAUGCGGCGGUGCGUCCUGGUUCUGCUGGGGGCCGUGGUGGUGAGCGCGCAGUUCCCACGGGAGUGCGUGACUCCAGAGGGGCUCCGGAGUGGACAGUGCUGUCCUUCACCCUCCGGACUCGACAAUGACGCGUGCGGCUCCAGCUCAGGCCGCGGACAGUGCGUGUUUCUGUCCGUGGACGCGCGCCCGCACGGACCCCAGUACCCGCACGACGGACGGGAUGACCGGGAGAGGUGGCCCAUCCGGUACUUCAACCGAACCUGUCAGUGCAACGGGAACUUCAGCGGGUACAACUGUGGACGAUGCAGACACGGGUGGACUGGAGCCAACUGUGACCAGCGGGUUUCUGUGGUGAGAAGAAACGUGAUGCAGCUCAGCGCCGAUGAGAAGCGUGCAUUCGUCAACGCAUUGGACCAGGCUAAACGUACGGUGCAUCCUGACCUGGUGAUCGCCACGCGGCGCUACCAGGAGAUCCUGGGGCCCGACGGGAACACGGUGCAGUUCGAGAACAUCACCAUCUACAACUACUUCGUCUGGACGCACUAUUACUCAGUCAGUAAGACGUUUCUGGGCGUGGGUCAGGCCAGUUUCGGAGGGGUGGACUUCUCACAUGAGGGGCCCGGGUUCCUGACCUGGCACCGGUACCAUUUACUGCAGCUGGAGAGGGACAUGCAGGACAUGCUGCAGGACCCGACUUUCGCCCUCCCCUACUGGAACUUCGCCAUCGGUGGCAACACAUGUGACAUUUGUACCGACGACCUGAUGGGAGCCAGGAGCACCUUCGACGCCAGCGCCCUGAGCACCAACUCCAUCUUUUCCCAGUGGAGAGUCGUCUGCGAGAGCGUAGAAGACUACGACACUCUGGGAACCAUCUGCAACAGUACUGAGACCUCUCCCAUCAGAAGGAACCCAGCAGGAAACGUGAACAGGCCGAUGGUCCAGCGUCUCCCAGAGCCCCAGGACGUGGCAGACUGUCUGCAGGUCAACACUUUCGACACCCCCCCCUAUUAUUCCACCUCCUCCGAAAGCUUCAGAAACACGAUUGAAGGUUACAGCGCCCCCCAGGGCAACUAUGACCCUGUGGUGAGGAGCCUCCAUAACCUGGCCCAUCUGUUCCUGAACGGGACAGGAGGACAGACCCACCUCUCACCCAACGACCCCAUCUUUGUCCUAUUACACACCUUCACAGACGCCAUCUUUGACGAAUGGUUGAGGAGGCACAGUCCAGAUUCUGCUGUUUAUCCUGAAGAGAACGCCCCCAUUGGUCACAACCGAGGCUACAACAUGGUGCCCUUCUGGCCCCCGGUGACCAACGCUGAGAUGUUUGUGACCGCCCCCGACAACCUGGGAUACACUUAUGAAGCCGAAUGGCCAGGUCAGGCCUUCACUCUGACUGAAAUCAUCACCAUGGCGAUCGUGGCUGCCCUUGUGGUGGUCGCAGUCAUUUUUGCAGCCACGACAUGCGCCGUGCGAGCCAGGUCUUACAAGAUGGAGGGUCUUCAGCCGCUGCUCGGGGAUCAGUACCAGAGAUACGACGACGGCAAAAGCCAAUCUGUGGUUUAAGACCACAGCUUCUUCUAACGUCAUCCACGCAGUUUGGUCACAUUUGUCCCUUGUUUCUCAAAGCUGCGAGAUGAUAGGUGGAGUUAUUGCUGCAUUCAUGUCCCACUGUCAGAGCUUUUAUCUAACAGACCAGUUUACUUGACAUGUUCCCUGUAGAUCCCAAACCACUCACUCAUCUUUGCCAUUUCCAGAUUAUGAGGAAAAGUUUGAGUGUUUGACCACCAGAUGGUGCUGUAAUCAGAUCCUGACCAGGCCUUGAACAGAGUAAUAUCCAGGGAAUGCCUUCUGUAGCAAAGUAUGUAGGGUUUUCCUUUAUUCACACUCAUGAACACAGUCUAAUUUAAGGAUAACCAAUAUUUGGCUGAUAUUUGGUGAAGAGAUACACAGCAGUGACUAUAAAAUGCACUGUGUGUGUCUGGGAGCCAUAACGCCCACAUGGGGGUGCUAUAUUUCAACUUCUGAAGCUGUGGAGCUCAUUUAAAACAGACGUAUAGCCUCCUGAGUGUUUUGUUUGGCCUGUUUUUCCACUGUCCUAAUAAUGUAUUUAGGUGAAUGAAAUGUAUAGUAGAUCAAUUAAGACACCUAAGUGAACUGUAUAUUCUCACGUUGCAGCUUUUUUACAUGUUUCUAUCUGUUUCUUUCCAUCGUUCUGCUUCUUCUCUUCAGUCUCUUCACUCUUCUGUUUUUACAUUUAUAUAUUUGCAGUAACAUUUUUGAUCUGGGUGCACGCCAAAUAUUUUGUUUGAUUAAAUGUUAUGCUUAUAUACAGAGGUUUUUGUUGAUUUUUAUGCACGGAUUAAAUGUGAUUAAAUACACUUUUU